UUAAACACUGGGGUGUGCUGAAGUUGACAGCUGUACGGAGUUCUGAUUGUUUUCAUUAUUUUGUAAUGAAAAUAAUUACAGAAAAGAGCGUAUCGACCGUUUACGCAAAAAAUCACUCUCAAAGGUAAUAAGCUCACUCAUUUUGGGGAAUAUGAACCUGACCCCGGAGUGUCCCAACAGAGUUUGCCAGGCUCCAAGUUUUAACCUACAACAACCCGAUCCCUAGUCAUAAAGUGGAGAAGGAAAUAUAGGGGAAAAGUUUUCACCUAUACUUAUUUGUCACCCUGUACAUGUGCUAGAGGUGUCAUCGGAGAUUUUUUUUUUAGAAAUUCUUCGUUCAAUCAUAG
Molecule: long non-coding RNA, 347 nt
Organism: Diachasma alloeum
Lineage: Eukaryota; Metazoa; Arthropoda; Insecta; Hymenoptera; Braconidae
Exons: 3
Source: RefSeq, a predicted model, not a curated record